AUUGUAGGCUGCAACUCGCCUACAUGAAGUCGGAGUUGCUAGUAAUCGCGGAUCAGAAUGCCGCGGUGAAUGCGUUCCCGGGUCUUGUACACACCGCCCCGUCACACCAUGGAAGUUGGGGGCGCCCGAAGUUGCCUAAGAAAUAAGGUACCUAAGGCGAAACCAAUGACUGGGGUGAAGUCGUAACAAGGUACC
RNAcentral lists this ribosomal RNA (195 nucleotides) under uncultured bacterium. RNAcentral's name for it is "partial 16S ribosomal RNA". It matches the Rfam family "Bacterial small subunit ribosomal RNA", at positions 1297 to 1500 of the family's 1533-position model. The record is from RNAcentral.